The sequence is a ribosomal RNA, 161 nucleotides long. It matches the Rfam family "5.8S ribosomal RNA". From Rfam's summary of the family: 5.8S ribosomal RNA (5.8S rRNA) is a component of the large subunit of the eukaryotic ribosome. It is transcribed by RNA polymerase I as part of the 45S precursor that also contains 18S and 28S rRNA.
UAAAAACUCUGAGCGGUGGAUCACUCGGCUCGUGUGUCGAUGAAGAGCGCAGCCAGCUGUGUGAAUUAAUGUGAAUUGCAGGACGCUUUGAACAUCGACUUCUUGAACGCACAUUGCGGCUACGAUUUCUGUCGUGGCCACGCCUGUCAGAGGGUCGGCUU